UACAGAGGUCCCGAGCGUUGUUCGGAUUCACUGGGCGUAAAGGGUGCGUAGGUGGCCUGAAAAGUUUGAUGUGAAAGCUCAGGGCUUAACCCUGAAAUGGCAUUGAAUACUGUCGGGCUGGAGGUUUGGAGGGGGGACUGGAAUUCUUGGUGUAGCAGUGAAAUGCGUAGAUAUCAAGAGGAACACCAGUGGCGAAGGCGAGUCCCUGGACAACACCUGACACUGAGGCACGAAAGCUAGGGGAGCGAAUGGG
RNAcentral lists this ribosomal RNA (253 nucleotides) under uncultured bacterium. RNAcentral's name for it is "partial 16S ribosomal RNA". It matches the Rfam family "Bacterial small subunit ribosomal RNA", at positions 524 to 776 of the family's 1533-position model. The record is from RNAcentral.